CUCUCCUUUCAGAUUUUCUAGAACAAUGGUGUAGUAUCUGUUCUUCAGUUUAAUCGCUGAUACAUCCUUGAUGUGAGGACCGACGCAUUAAACAUAUUUUUGGUGCCAGGGGAGGGCCUUGGAGCUUGCUCCAGCCCCUCCAUGCAUUGGCUCGAUGUAGCAAUGCAUCUGGGCCCAAAAAGACACAA
Molecule: small nuclear RNA, 188 nt
Organism: Alligator mississippiensis (American alligator)
Lineage: Eukaryota; Metazoa; Chordata; Crocodylia; Alligatoridae
Rfam family: U2 spliceosomal RNA
About the family: U2 is a small nuclear RNA (snRNA) component of the spliceosome (involved in pre-mRNA splicing). Complementary binding between U2 snRNA (in an area lying towards the 5' end but 3' to hairpin I) and the branchpoint sequence (BPS) of the intron results the bulging out of an unpaired adenosine, on the BPS, which initiates a nucleophilic attack at the intronic 5' splice site, thus starting the first of two transesterification reactions that mediate splicing.
Source: Rfam